UACCCUUUGGAAAGGAAUAGCCUCGGGAAACUGGGAGUAAUGCCUUAUAAGAUACGUUUGUCGCAUGGCAUUUGUAUUAAACGCUCCGGCGCCAUAGGAUGGACCCGCGUCCCAUUAGCUAGUUGGUGAGAUAACAGCUCACCAAGGCCACGAUGGGUAACCGGUCUGAGAGGGCGAACGGUCACACUGGAACUGAGACACGGUCCAGACUCCUACGGGAGGCAGCAGUGGGGAAUAUUGCGCAAUGGGGGCAACCCUGACGCAGCAAUACCGCGUAAGUGAAGAAGGUUUUCGGAUCGUAAAGCUCUGUUAUUGGGGAAGAAGAAAAGACGGUACCCAAGAAGAAAGUUCCGGCUAACUACGUGCCAGCAGCCGCGGUAAUACGUAGGGAACAAGCGUUGUCCGGAUUUACUGGGCGUAAAGGGCACGCAGGCGGUUUUUUAAGUCAGAUGUGAAAGGCCACAGCUCAACUGUGGACAUGCAUUUGAAACUGAAAGACUUGAGUAUUGGAGAGGCAAGUGGAAUUCCUAGUGUAGCGGUGAAAUGCGUAGAUAUUAGGAGGAACACCGGUGGCGAAGGCGGCUUGCUGGACAAAUACUGACGCUGAG
Molecule: ribosomal RNA, 608 nt
Filed under: uncultured bacterium
Lineage: Bacteria
Description: bacterial SSU rRNA
Rfam family: Bacterial small subunit ribosomal RNA
Source: RNAcentral